UUGGGUGAGGAUAAGCCAUGCGAGUUGCAUGGGAUACCUAAAUUUCCCAUGGCAAACUGCUCAGUAACACAUGAUCAACUUGCCCUAUAGAGAAAAAUAACCUCGGGAAACUGAGGAUAAUGUUUCAUAGUUGAAAAGGCUUGGAAAAGUUUUUCAAUAAAAGGGGUAAGGAAAAUGGUACUUAUCUGCUAUAGGAUAGGAUCGUGUUCGACUAUGGUUGUUGGUGAGGUAAUGGCUCACCAAGCCGAUAAUCGAUAGGGGCCGUGAGAGCGGAAGCCCCGAGAUGGGUACUGAGACAGCGACCCAGGCCUUACGAGGCGCAGCAGGCGCGAAACCUCCACAAUACACGAAAGUGUGAUGGGGUUACCCAAAGUGUUCUAUUAAGAACUGUGGUAGGUGAGUAAUGUUCCCUACUAGAAAGGAGAGGGCAAGGCUGGUGCCAGCCGCCGCGGUAAAACCAGCUCUUCAAGUGGUCGGGAUAAUUAUUGGGCUUAAAGUGUCCGUAGCCGGUUUAAUAAGUUCCUGGUAAAAUCGGGUAGCUUAACUAUCUGCAUGCUAGGAAUACUGCUAUACUAGAGGGCGGGAGAGGUCUGAGGUACUACAGGGGUAGGGGUGAAAUCUUAUAAUCCUUGUAGGACCACCAGUGGCGAAGGCGUCAGACUGGAACGCGCCUGACGGUGAGGGACGUAAGCCAGGGGAGCGAACCGGAUUAGAUACCCGGGUAGUCCUGGCCGUAAACGAUGCAUACUAGGUGAUGGUACGGCCAUGAGCCAUGUCAGUGCCGUAGGGAAACCGUUAAGUGUGCCGCCUGG
Molecule: ribosomal RNA, 812 nt
Filed under: uncultured archaeon
Lineage: Archaea
Description: bacterial SSU rRNA
Rfam family: Archaeal small subunit ribosomal RNA
Source: RNAcentral